CCUGGAACCAUUAAGGAAUUGCAAUUAAUAUUAUCAGCCACGGACCAGGGAAUCAUGUUUUUUUUAAAUCUUCUUUAUGUUGAUAUCCUUGUCAGUUCAAGGAGAGCUAACUCAGAUCCUGAGCUGCUGGCUCAGACAGGAGCCCACACUGGCAGCCCCCGUGGUCAACAAAUAAGUAAUCCAGCUCUGAAACCAAACAUGAAUAAAGCAAAAUCCAUUAGCAUCUCACCAUACCCAAGAUGCCUUCAGAGGCAUAGAACAUAGAGUUCUCGAAAAUUAACUGAUAAUAUAAAGAUAUAAACUCAGAAGACCAGAAAGAUAUAAAAUGAGAGGCUUAUACAAUGUCAGAAAUAUACAAUGAGUU
This is a non-coding RNA of Pelobates cultripes (western spadefoot toad), 364 nucleotides long. The record is from the annotation of a GenBank genome assembly. Lineage: Eukaryota; Metazoa; Chordata; Amphibia; Anura; Pelobatidae.